Molecule: ribosomal RNA, 414 nt
Filed under: uncultured Glomeromycotina
Lineage: Eukaryota; Fungi; Glomeromycota
Description: SSU rRNA
Rfam family: Eukaryotic small subunit ribosomal RNA
Source: RNAcentral
CGUACUAGUUUAUUGGUUUCUCUCUUCUGACGAACCAUGAUGUCAUUAAUUUGGUGUCAUGUGGAAUCAGAACUGUUACUUUGAAAAAAUUAGAGUGUUUAAAGCAGGCUCACGCUUGAAUACAUUAGCAUGGAAUAAUGAAAUAGGACGUUUGAUUCUAUUUUGUUGGUUUCUAGGAUUGACGUAAUGAUUAAUAGGGAUAGUUGGGGGCAUUAGUAUUCAAUUGUCAGAGGUGAAAUUCUUGGAUUUAUUGAGGACUAACUACUGCGAAAGCAUUUGCCAAGGAUGUUUUCAUUAAUCAAGAACGAAAGUUAGGGGAUCGAAGACGAUCAGAUACCGUCGUAGUCUUAACCAUAAACUAUGCCGACUAGGGAUCGGAUGAUGUUAAUUUAAUGACUCAUUCGGCGCCUUACG